AAAACUGAUGCUUGGAGAUGUGAUCACUGCCCAGGGUCACCCAAUGAUAACAUGCAUGCAUAUGGAACUUGCUGCAUGCCAGCACCAUAGGAGUCCGCUCCCCAUGCUGUCCUCACCACAUUGCUCAUUUCUGAGGCCUGGAUGGUGGGCUUGCAAGGGAAGAUGACGGUUUUCUCCUCAGCUUUGCGGAGUGGCAGCAGAGUCCGUUUGCCCUGGAAAACAAAUGUCCACACAGUUAGGAAGCCCAAGGGCCCUCUGCCCUUUCCUCUCUGCCUUCCUGGAGCAUGAACCCACACAGGGCACACAGCAGCAAGGCAUCCCCGGGCAGUGCCGUGCCCACUCACCAGCUUCUUCCUGCGGUCAUCGAUCUGGCAGAAGUUCUCCUCAUCUAUCCCCAAACAUGGGCUUCCUUGAGGCACAGUCAUUCAACCAACCAGCCAGCAUUCAUUGAGCACCAUCUAUGUCCUGGGCACUGCUAGGGGAUGGUGAUAACAGGGAGAAGACUCUGUCCCUGCCUUCCAAUUGUGUAGAGGAAGACAUCCCCCUACAUGAUGGGUGAGACAUAGCAGAAGUGAGUAGGGGAUGAGGUGGGGGCUCAGAGGAGGGCAUGGUCAGCCUGUCUGGGAGGGAGUUGCAUGUGUGCAUCUGAGGUAGGGACAGGCAUGCAUCUUACAGGAUGAAUAUCGAGCAGAGUUACAGAGAGGGGGAAACUCCUUGAGGUUUCAGGAAUCACCUAAUCCACUGUGACUCACAAAUUCCUGCCUCUUGGCUUUGCCUGCAGCAUAUCUCCUGGAAGUGUGCUGGGGCAAAACUCAUCCCAGACCACCAUCUCCAUCCUCCCCCAAUACACCCUGGCUCUCCCUGGCUACCCUUGAGCACGGUGCACGUGUGCAUGGGUGCAUGCCUGCAUAUAUAGCUAUCCCCCAUGUAUUUCCCAAAGCCCUACAUAAUGCUUCAGUUUGCUAAGGAAAAAAUGUUAAUUACUGCAAAUGUGUUUAAAACUGUAAAAGUACAUUAAACAAACUCUGUAAAGUGUGAAA
This 1040-nucleotide long non-coding RNA is filed under the name Homo sapiens (human). Its description in RNAcentral is "HSALNT0015637". The record is from RNAcentral. Lineage: Eukaryota; Metazoa; Chordata; Mammalia; Primates; Hominidae.